AUCUACGGCCAUUCCAUCCUGAAUAUGCCCGAUCUCGUCUGAUCUCAGAAGCUAAGCAGGAUCGGGCCUGGUUAGUCCUUGGAUGGGAGACCACCUAGGAAGACCAGGUGCUGUAGGCU
Pteropus alecto (black flying fox) is the source of this 119-nucleotide non-coding RNA. The record is from Rfam. NCBI's taxonomy places the organism in Eukaryota, Metazoa, Chordata, Mammalia, Chiroptera, Pteropodidae.